Molecule: ribosomal RNA, 155 nt
Filed under: Helianthus annuus (common sunflower)
Lineage: Eukaryota; Viridiplantae; Streptophyta; Magnoliopsida; Asterales; Asteraceae
Description: 5.8S ribosomal RNA
Rfam family: 5.8S ribosomal RNA
About the family: 5.8S ribosomal RNA (5.8S rRNA) is a component of the large subunit of the eukaryotic ribosome.
Source: RNAcentral
GACUCUCGGCAACGGAUAUCUCGGCUCACGCAUCGAUGAAGAACGUAGCAAAAUGCGAUACUUGGUGUGAAUUGCAGAAUCCCGUGAACCAUCGAGUUUUGAACGCAAGUUGCGCCCGAAGCCAUUCGGUUGAGGGCACGUCUGCCUGGGCGUCA